GGGCGAGGGAAAGGUGUCCACUGGAAACAGAGGCUUUCAACAGCUGAUCACUGCUGGGAACCAUAAAAGAAAACCAAGACCUCCAAAGAUCCGAAUACAGUGAUAUUCAGCAAAAUGUCAUGCAAGAGAAUCUCAGUUCUGACAAGCCCUAACGACACACCAGAGGAUCGUUUGGCAGUUGUGUCAGAUGAUCUUUGAAGCCCCCAUGCUGAAGUCUGCAAUGUAUGUAUAUUACUUCUUCCAUGGACUAAUGAUCUACUACUACCAGAGCUGUGGAGUGUGACAAUGGUGUUUGUGUCCAGUCUAUCAAACGCCAUUAUCACACUAAAUAGCUACUGGUAGACAAGACAUCAAUUCAGAAAAGUAUGUGAACUGUAGCAAUACGUCUUCCCACCGUACUGAGGAAUAAAUAACCUUUUAACAUGUA
Harpia harpyja (harpy eagle) is the source of this 427-nucleotide long non-coding RNA. RefSeq lists it as uncharacterized. The transcript has 2 exons. Lineage: Eukaryota; Metazoa; Chordata; Aves; Accipitriformes; Accipitridae. The record is from RefSeq and is a predicted model, not a curated record.